CCUACGGGAGGCAGCAGUGGGGAAUUUUGGACAAUGGGCGAAAGCCUGAUCCAGCAAUGCCGCGUGAGUGAAGAAGGCCUUCGGGUUGUAAAGCUCUUUUGUCAGGGAAGAAACGGUGAGGGCUAAUAUCUCUUGCUAAUGACGGUACCUGAAGAAUAAGCACCGACUAACUACGUGCCAGCAGCCGCGGUAAUACGUAGGGUGCAAGCGUUAAUCGGAAUUACUGGGCGUAAAGCGUGCGCAGGCGGUUUUGUAAGUCUGUCGUGAAAUCCCCGGGCUCAACCUGGGAAUUGCGAUGGAGACUGCAAGGCUAGAAUCUGGCAGAGGGGGGUAGAAUUCCACGUGUAGCAGUGAAAUGCGUAGAGAUGUGGAGGAACACCGAUGGCGAAGGCAGCCCCCUGGGUCAAGAUUGACGCUCAUGCACGAAAGCGUGGGGAGCAAACAGGAUUAGAUACCCUGGUAGUCCACGCCCUAAACGAUGUCUACUAGUUGUCGGGUUUUAAUUAACUUGGUAACGCAGCUAACGCGUGAAGUAGACCGCCUGGGGAGUACGGUCGCAAGNUUAAAACUCAAAUGAAAUUGACGG
RNAcentral lists this ribosomal RNA (586 nucleotides) under uncultured bacterium. Its description in RNAcentral is "bacterial SSU rRNA". It matches the Rfam family "Bacterial small subunit ribosomal RNA", at positions 338 to 916 of the family's 1533-position model. The record is from RNAcentral.